Molecule: ribosomal RNA, 720 nt
Filed under: Amphidinium carterae
Lineage: Eukaryota; Dinophyceae; Amphidiniales; Amphidiniaceae
Description: partial Bacterial small subunit ribosomal RNA
Rfam family: Bacterial small subunit ribosomal RNA
Source: RNAcentral
UAGGAAUGCGAAAGGUAACGGUGGAAUGUGGUAGAACCUUCGUGGACUUCCUUCUCGGGGCGUCUCAGGCCCACGUCUGAACCCUGUGGUAGCAAGCUGGAUUAGAUACCCAAGUAGUCACAGAGGUUAACCCUGGCUAAUCGUAGACUGGAUAACAAACGUUAAGAUUAAUUAGGCUCAUCUUACGAGUACGCCCGUCGGGGUGAAACUUAAAGGUGCUGGUGGUAAUUUAGAACAACGGUGGAACUGAUGAUUUAAUUCGAUAUUACGCGAUACAGCUCAUCCACGAUCCCCUCUACAGCCUCGUAAGAGGUUCUUCCUGCCUAUACGGUAAGGUGUUGCAUGGCUGUCUUAAGGUGAUGUCUCACGACAUAAUCACCACAACCCCUAUUCCUCUUUCCUUUAUUGGGGGAGGUUUGAUCAAGGUCGAGUCAUUAUGGCCCAUGCGUGGAGCGAUCCAUCAGUUACAAUACCUGGUUCAUUCUCCGUCGUACAGGCGGUCUUCUGAACACUAGGUCUACGAAUGAGCGGUUGAAAUGCCCCUCUGAAGCUGGAAUCGUUAGUAACCCUACGGUUAGUUAUACUAGGGUGAAUAAGAGAUAAGUUGCGUUCAUACUGCCCGUCAAGCAAGUAAAGGACCCUGGGAAUAUAGGCCUUCGAUGGUCUCCCGUAAGGUCCGAUAAGUGUUAAGUCGAAACAUGGUAGGUUAAACGGAAGUUG